RNAcentral lists this transfer RNA (193 nucleotides) under plant metagenome. Its description in RNAcentral is "partial contains 5.8S ribosomal RNA, internal transcribed spacer 2, and large subunit ribosomal RNA". The record is from RNAcentral.
GAGCGUCCUGGAAGGCACGGCGCUUGAGCUUCCACAACAUGGUACAGAGCCUAUCAUGCGCGGGCUGUGCUACAGUUUCCUUUCUGCGCCGGAUGCGCAUAAGGCAGGCUGGUUAACCUGCGGCGGGCUGUAAACUCGCUCCCUCCGGGCUAGAGGUUCGAUUCCUUCAUCCGGCACUUACGGAAGGUGAGCU